AGCGAACGCUGGCGGCAGGCCUAACACAUGCAAGUCGAGCGCCCAGCAAUGGGAGCGGCAGACGGGAUAGUAACACGUGGGAACGUACCUUUCAGUUCGGAACAACCCAGGGAAACUUGGGCUAAUACCGAAUACGUCCGUAAGGAGAAAGAUUUAUCGCUGAAAGAUCGGCCCGCGUCUGAUUAGCUAGUUGGUGAGGUAAUGGCUCACCAAGGCGACGAUCAGUAGCNGGUCUGAGAGGAUGAUCAGCAUCACUGGGACUGAGACACGGCCCAGACUCCUACGGGAGGCAGCAGUGGGGAAUAUUGGACAAUGGGCGCAAGCCUGAUCCAGCCAUGCCGCGUGAAGGAUGAAGGCGCUCUGCGUCGUAAACUUCUUUACUCGAGAAAAUUGUUGGGUUUCUACCUGACUUGAUUGUACCGAGAGAAUAAGGACCGGCUAACUUCGUGCCAGCCGCCGCUGUAAG
Molecule: ribosomal RNA, 466 nt
Filed under: uncultured bacterium
Lineage: Bacteria
Description: bacterial SSU rRNA
Rfam family: Bacterial small subunit ribosomal RNA
Source: RNAcentral